GCGGUGGGGUUGGAGGAAGGAAGAAGAAAGCAAGACGAAAGGAUAUAAUCAGAGAGAUAUUUUUAGAGCAUCGCCAUUAAAAUUUGAGAGGUAUGUGGACGCCACGUGUCGGAUUUUUAGCGGGAAAAGGCAGGACUGUCUGACAGGCUGGCGAAGAAGAACACGUGGCGGGGUGAUUUUCCCGUCCCCACGAAUCUCUCUUUCCACGUUAAAAUCUCAUGCCGCGAGAUCAGCUUAACCAUGUAGACUAUGAACACAUGUAUAUCGUUUUUAUGGGUCCCACUCUGAUGACACGUGAUGAUAUGACAGCUAAGGACGCCAACUUUUUUGAUUGGUUAUGACACGCUGUCAGACACGUGGCUGGUUUUGUUUGGAUAAGACGGGGUAAGAGUACGGUGACGAAUAAUUCUGUGGGGUUCUUUUUCUUCAACGCGGCGCGUGGAACUAUCUUGUUUAGGUGCCACGUGACUUCAUAAGAGACGUGGACAAAGGAUGUGGAUUCGACGGUGCUGGAGUGGCCACGUCGAUUUCCGUUUUUUCUUUUCUUCUUCGUAUUUCGAGUUAUUUCUUUUCCUAAA
Cucurbita moschata (crookneck pumpkin) is the source of this 578-nucleotide long non-coding RNA. RefSeq lists it as uncharacterized. The transcript has 2 exons. NCBI's taxonomy places the organism in Eukaryota, Viridiplantae, Streptophyta, Magnoliopsida, Cucurbitales, Cucurbitaceae. The record is from RefSeq and is a predicted model, not a curated record.